Molecule: long non-coding RNA, 623 nt
Organism: Tyto alba (common barn owl)
Lineage: Eukaryota; Metazoa; Chordata; Aves; Strigiformes; Tytonidae
Exons: 3
Source: RefSeq, a predicted model, not a curated record
GAGAGCCCGGGGGGGCGAGUUAGGGAUGGACCCGACUCAAAGGCAAAGACCCAGCCCCACAGCAGACACAGCACCGGUCCCGCAGGGGCUGGGCCAGCGGGCUCGGCAACGUCCCUCGCGCCCCAAAAACCUCCCCAAGUUGGGCAGGAAGGGGAGAGCGUCGGUGCCCCAAACCCACCCGAAUUGUUGGGCAGGAACUGGAGAGUGUUGGUGCCCCAAAACCUCCCGAAUUGUUGGGCAGGAACUGGAGAGUGUUGGUGCCCCAAAACCUCCCAAAUUGUUGGGCAGGAACUGGAGAGUGUUGGUGCCCCAAACCCACCCGAAUUGUUGGGCAGGAACUGGACAGUGUUGGUGCCCCAAACCCACCCGAAUUGUUAGGCAGGAACUGGAGAGUGUUGGUGCCCCAAAACCACACCCAACUGGGACAUGAAAAGGUGAUCAUUAACAACCCAAAACCACCUCAUUUUGGGUAGAAACUAGAGUGUGUUGGUCCCCCCAAACCCACCCGAAUUGUUGGGCAGGAACUGGAGAGUGUUGGUGCCCCAAACCCACCCGAAUUGUUGGGCAGGAACUGGACAGUGUUGGUGCCCCAAACCCACCCGAAUUUGUGCAAGAAAUGGAGA